This is a long non-coding RNA of Syzygium oleosum, 409 nucleotides long. RefSeq lists it as uncharacterized. NCBI's taxonomy places the organism in Eukaryota, Viridiplantae, Streptophyta, Magnoliopsida, Myrtales, Myrtaceae. The record is from RefSeq and is a predicted model, not a curated record. The transcript is spliced from 3 exons.
CGGCGGAUCUCUAGAGGUCUCGCUCGCAGCUAUUUAAUGCGCGGAAACGAGUCCGAUCCCUCAACAAAAAACCAAUAGGAAAACGAAGCAGGCAAGAGAGAGAGAGAGGUCGAUCUCGCCAGGAAGAUCUUCACCUUCACCUUCACCUUCAAUUCCUCUAGCUGCUCUCCAGCUUCUGCAAUCAUGACGACAUCGAGGCGUUUCGCGGAUCGGAAGGUGGAUAGGUUUGAGAAGAACAUCACGAAGAGAGGAGCUGUUCCUGAGACGACCGUCAAGAAGGGACAGGACUACCCUGUGGGACCUAUCUUGCUCGGGUUCUUCAUAUUUGUGGUCAUUGGCUCAUGUGGCAACACCUCUUCUGUCCGGUCAACUAGUUUUCACAGGCUGAGCUGAUGAUGUUUGAGGAAAA